GACGAACGCUGGCGGCGUGCUUAACACAUGCAAGUCGAACGGACAGGCCAUGCUUUUGCGGGGCGCUCGUUAGGCGAACGCGUGAGAAACACGCGAGUAACCUCCCCUUAAAUUUGGGGUAACUUCACGAAACAGGGGCUAAUAUCCGGUAGAAGAUCUUGAACCGCGGGGGGGGUUGGAAAGUUUCGGCGGUUGGGGAUGGACUCGCGGCUUAUCCGCUUGUUGGUGGGGUAGUGGCUUACCAAGGCUUUGACGGGUAGCCGGCCUGGGAGGGUGGCCGGCGACCUUGGGCCUACGAGACGGCGCAGACGCCUACGGUACGCAGCGGUGGAGAACAUUGCGCAAUGGGGGGAAGCGUGAUGCAGCAACGCUGCGUGCGUGAUGCCGUCCUUCGGGUUAUAAACCGCUGUCUCCUGUGACGAAGCGUGAGUGACGGUAAUUGGUAAAAAAGCACCGGCUAACUACGUG
RNAcentral lists this ribosomal RNA (468 nucleotides) under uncultured bacterium. RNAcentral describes it as "partial 16S ribosomal RNA". It matches the Rfam family "Bacterial small subunit ribosomal RNA", at positions 28 to 507 of the family's 1533-position model. The record is from RNAcentral.